RNAcentral lists this ribosomal RNA (850 nucleotides) under uncultured archaeon. RNAcentral's name for it is "bacterial SSU rRNA". It matches the Rfam family "Archaeal small subunit ribosomal RNA", at positions 13 to 871 of the family's 1478-position model. The record is from RNAcentral.
CCUGCCGGAGGCCACUGCUAUCGNAGUUCGAUUAAGCCAUGCGAGUCGAGAGGUGCAAGACCUCGGCAUACUGCUCAGUAACACGUGGACAACCUACCCUAUGGAGGGGGAUAACCCCGGGAAACUGGGGAUAAUACCCCAUAGACUAUAGAUGCUGGAAUGCUUUGUAGUUGAAAGGUCCGCCGCCAUAGGAUGGGUCUGCGGCCGAUUAGGUUGUUGUUGGGGUAACGGCCCAACAAGCCUGUAAUCGGUACGGGUUGUGGGAGCAAGAGCCCGGAGAUGGAUUCUGAGACACGAAUCCAGGCCCUACGGGGCGCAGCAGGCGCGAAAACUUUACAAUGCGGGAAACCGUGAUAAGGGGACUCCGAGUGCCCGUAAAAUCGGGCUGUCCAUCUGUUUAAAUAACAGGUGAAGAAAGGGCCGGGCAAGACCGGUGCCAGCCGCCGCGGUAAUACCGGCGGCUCGAGUGGUGGCCACUAUUACUGGGCUUAAAGCGUUCGUAGCUGGUCUGUUAAGUCUCUGGGGAAAUCUACUGGCUUAACCAAUAGGCGUCUCAGGGAUACUGGCAGACUAGGGACCGGGAGAGGUGAGAGGUACUCCAGGGGUAGGAGUGAAAUCCUGUAAUCCUUGGGGGACCACCUGUGGCGAAGGCGUCUCACCAGAACGGCUCCGACAGUGAGGGACGAAAGCUGGGGGAGCAAACCGGAUUAGAUACCCGGGUAGUCCCAGCCGUAAACGAUGCGCGUUAGGUGUAUCGGUGACCACGAGUCACCGAGGUGCCGAAGAGAAAUCGUGAAACGUGCCGCCUGGGAAGUACGGUCGCAAGGCUGAAACUUAAAGGAAUUGGCGG